This 618-nucleotide ribosomal RNA is filed under the name uncultured archaeon. RNAcentral's name for it is "bacterial SSU rRNA". It matches the Rfam family "Archaeal small subunit ribosomal RNA", at positions 97 to 705 of the family's 1478-position model. The record is from RNAcentral.
CACAUGAUCAACUUACCCUAUAGAGAAAAAUAACCUCNGGAAACUGAGGAUAAUAUUUCAUAAUUGAAUUGGCUUGGAAAGGUUUUUCAAUGAAAAGGAUAAAAAAAAUGGUUUUUAUCUGCUAUAGGAUAGGAUCGUGUUCGAUUAUGGUUGUUGGUGAGGUAAUGGCUCACCAAGCCGAUAAUCUAUAGGGGCCGUGAGAGCGGGAGCCCCNAUAUGGGUACUGAGACAACGACCCAGGCCUUACNAGGCGCAACANGCGCNAAACCUCCGCAAUACACNAAAGUGUGACNGGGUUACCCAAAGUGUUCAAUUUGAACUGNGGUANGUGANUAAUGUCCCCUACUAUAAAGGAAAGGGCAAGGCUGGUGCCAGCCGCCGCGGUAAGACCAACUCUUCAAGUGGUCGGGAUAAUUAUUGGGCUUAAAGUGUCCCUAGCCGGUUUAAUAAGUUCCUGGUAAAAUCGGGUAGCUUAACUAUUUGCAUGCUAGGAAUACUGCUAUACUAAAGGGCGGGAAAAGUCUUANGUACUUCAGGGGUAGGGGUGAAAUCUUAUAAUCCUUGUAGGACCACCAAUGGCGAANGCGUCAAACUGGAACGCGCCUGACGGUGAAGGAC